UACGUAGGGUGCGAGCGUUAAUCGGAAUUACUGGGCGUAAAGCGUGCGCAGGCGGUUCGUUGUGUCGGUGGUGAAAGCCCCGGGCUUAACCUGGGAAUGGCCAUGGAAACUGGCGAACUGGAGUGUGGCAGAGGGGGGUGGAAUUCCGCGUGUAGCGGUGAAAUGCGUAGAUAUUCGGAGGAAUACCGGUGGCGAAGGCGGUUCUCUGGUCUGAUUCUGACGCUGAGGAGCGAAAGCCAGGGGAGCAAACGGG
Molecule: ribosomal RNA, 253 nt
Filed under: uncultured bacterium
Lineage: Bacteria
Description: partial 16S ribosomal RNA
Rfam family: Bacterial small subunit ribosomal RNA
Source: RNAcentral